RNAcentral lists this ribosomal RNA (254 nucleotides) under uncultured bacterium. Its description in RNAcentral is "partial 16S ribosomal RNA". It matches the Rfam family "Archaeal small subunit ribosomal RNA", at positions 474 to 727 of the family's 1478-position model. The record is from RNAcentral.
CACCGGCGCCACGAGUGGCAACCGCUUUUAUUGGGCCUAAAGCGUCCGUAGCUGGUUUAAUAAAUCUUUUGUGAAAUUGUCGGGCUUAACUUGACAGCGUGCAGAAGAGACUGUUUGACUAGGGACCGGGAGGAGUUAGAGGUAUUUUGGGGGGAGCGGUAAAAUGUUAUAAUCCCCAGAGGACCACCUGUGGCGAAGGCGUCUAACUAGAACGGAUCCGACAGUGAGGGACGAAGGCCAGGGGAGCAAAACGG